AAAUCAACUUGUGCAAAUAUUUGAACUUUUAAUAAUCAUCUUAUAUUUAAUAUAUCUUUUAAAAAUGAUUUUUUAAAAUCUAGUCUAAUGAUACAAUUUUUCUUCAGCAUCUUCGCUAGAAUUUUUUUAUAUUUACAGUAUUUGUUUGCUUGCUCACAUUGCUUUUUAUUGAAGAGAAAUUGAUACACUGGUACUUAGUGAACAUGUUCUUGAAAUUUAGGAUUGUGAAGUUCUGAAAUAAUCACUCAUACAGGUUUUACUUAUCAAACAAUGUUUCCGUUAUAUUUUAUACGGAACACGUACAUUAAUUUGUCGAUUUUUGGAUUGAAUCAACGGAUCAGCAUCAUGUUAUCAUAUGAAAUGCUUAUUUAAUUUUUUGUCUUUGCAGAUGUUUGUAGCGGUUGCUGGCUGAAGACAUAUACAAGGAACAUAUUAGAAACGAAAGUGUACUGAAACUCUACAACCUAUGGGAUGCAGCAUAUUACUUUAUGAAGCGGAUCUCUACAUUUGAAAUAUAGAACCAUGUAAUAAUAAGUAGGACGAAAUGCUUCGAAUGGGAUUUGGAAGACUAAGGAAGUUUUCACAAAAGCAUGGUAUAAGUGAUACGAAUAUGAAUAUUUGAUAUGAAAGUACAAAAAUACAACGUACAAUGAAUUACUCUUAUUAUUGUACGAAAAUUACGAAUCUGAAUCUCUUCUACUUAAGAAUCCUCUUCCUCUUUUCACAUACAUGCUUCUGCAAUCGAAGAUGGCUUGCCGAUAGGCAUGUUUGUAAAUAUCUCGUUUACUUUUUCUUAAAAUAUUAUUAUUAUGGUGUCAAUAAAUAUCAAGUAUCGAGUUGAAGUGCUGAGAAUUCUACUACUGAUCUACCAAUGCGUAAUGGAGUUUAACUUGUAAAUUAAUUAUAUCAGUUUUUAUGCUUAAAAACACAUCUGCGAAAAAUGGCUUAUUCCAAUGGCAAAAUAAAACUUGUUACCUGUUAAAA
Megalopta genalis is the source of this 984-nucleotide non-coding RNA. Lineage: Eukaryota; Metazoa; Arthropoda; Insecta; Hymenoptera; Halictidae. The record is from RefSeq and is a predicted model, not a curated record.